AUAGGAAUGGCUCAGUGGUAGAGUGCUAAGCAUGAGGUCCUGGGUUCAAUCCCCAGUACCUCCA
RNAcentral lists this transfer RNA (64 nucleotides) under Camelus bactrianus (Bactrian camel). It matches the Rfam family "tRNA". From Rfam's summary of the family: Transfer RNA (tRNA) molecules are approximately 80 nucleotides in length. Their secondary structure includes four short double-helical elements and three loops (D, anti-codon, and T loops). Lineage: Eukaryota; Metazoa; Chordata; Mammalia; Artiodactyla; Camelidae. The record is from Rfam by way of RNAcentral. RNAcentral also lists the same sequence under 1 other name.